GUCUACGGCCAUACCACCCUGAACACGCCCCAUCUCGUCUGAUCUCGGAAGCUAAGCAGGGUCGGACCUGUUUAGUACUUGGAUGGGAGACAAUAAUCAUGAGUAGACU
Molecule: ribosomal RNA, 109 nt
Filed under: Erinaceus europaeus (western European hedgehog)
Lineage: Eukaryota; Metazoa; Chordata; Mammalia; Eulipotyphla; Erinaceidae
Source: RNAcentral